GAACUUGUAGCUCAAUAGCAGAGCAGCCAGUCGUAUUAUCCUAUACAGCUGUGCAUCUUGCGGGUUCGAAUCCCGCCAAGUUCU
RNAcentral lists this transfer RNA (84 nucleotides) under Priestia megaterium. Its description in RNAcentral is "tRNA-OTHER". It matches the Rfam family "tRNA". From Rfam's summary of the family: Transfer RNA (tRNA) molecules are approximately 80 nucleotides in length. Their secondary structure includes four short double-helical elements and three loops (D, anti-codon, and T loops). The record is from RNAcentral. Lineage: Bacteria; Bacillati; Bacillota; Bacilli; Caryophanales; Bacillaceae. RNAcentral also lists the same sequence under 2 other names.